CCUCUUUUUCUCUCUCAUGAACUGCGCAACUAUUGCACUGCACAGACCCACCAUCUCUCAUGAACUGCGCAACUAUUCCUCUCUCUCUCUCUGAGGGAGCACAUCUAACCCUAGAAACUCUUCAAUGGCUUUCUCACGCUUCCCUAAUAACGAGAUCGAAUUAACCUCUUCCUCGUCAACCUCCUUUGCCCAAACUGUCCGAUUCCGGUGGUUCCUCCAUGUGCCGCCACCGUUCCUCCAUCAAUGGCCAUUUAUAGCAACCUUGCAAGCGGAGCCACCGCUUUAAUUCUCUUCUUCACCAACCUUUACGGCCCACAGGUGGUCGCACCGCCCAAGUUUUUCUACACUACGGCUCCCACCGGAAGUCCUGACAGCGUCGCCGCCUGCAACCACCUUGGGGGGGUUUGAGGCUAAGGCAGUGAAGAAGGGUUUAUACUUUCUAUGUGAGACUGGACAUGCCUGGGGUUGAGGAAGAGGACGUGGAGGUAUGGAUGGAGUAUGACACCCUUUUUCUCAAAGGUGAAGCCCGGAGAGCAUGGGAGCAAGAAAUCUACGGCAGGUUGUACUGUGGGAGCAUAGAUCUUCUGCCCCAGUAGGGGAAGAAGAGGUUGAUUACGUUAAGAAUUCACAUCAUUUUUAUGGGCCAAGAGAGGAGUUUGAGGCUAAGGCAGUGAAGAAGUGUUUGUAUGUGACAGUGGACAUGCCUGGCGUUGAGGAAGAGGACGCGGAGGUAUCGCUUGAUAACGAUACCGUUUUUCGUCAAAGGUGAAGCCCGGAAAGAAUGGGAGCAAGGAAUAUAUGGCAGGUUGUACUGUGGGAGCAUUGAUCUUCUGCCAGAAUCGGGGAAGAAGGUUGGUGUUCUUAAGAAGGAUCUGAAGAAUGGUGUUGUAACAAUGGUCCUGGAUGCUUCUCGUGGACGACGACGGUUACUCAGUUUACCAGUAGCAAUCUUGAAUUCCCAGCUGUGAUAUAGAAUUUCUGCUUCUUAACCCUCCAGGUCUGAUUUGUAGGUUUUUUGCUCUUCGUUUUAGUUUAGUACCAGUUUGUGUGUGUAUAAUCUACAUGUUUAAGAUGUUUUUGUUUUAGAUACAGAUAAAUACAGAAGUUAUUUUAUCCAUUGGACUCUAAAGAAAAAUUUAAGAGCUGUGGGAUCAGCGGUCUCUGAUGAUGUGCGUUUGGGUUUUCUGUCCGAGUCUCUUCUUCCUGAUAUGCCUUCCUCCUAUGCAUGCAUAUUAGAGGAUAGUUUGGC
This is a long non-coding RNA of Cornus florida, 1249 nucleotides long. RefSeq lists it as uncharacterized. NCBI's taxonomy places the organism in Eukaryota, Viridiplantae, Streptophyta, Magnoliopsida, Cornales, Cornaceae. The transcript is spliced from 4 exons. The record is from RefSeq and is a predicted model, not a curated record.